AGAAUCAACGCUGGCGGCGUGCCUAACACAUGCAAGUCGAACGAGAAAGUGGAGCAAUCCAUGAGUACAGUGGCGUACGGGUGAGUAACACGUGACUAACCUACCCUCGAGUGGGGAAUAACCUCGGGAAACCGGGGCUAAUACCGCAUAACAUCUUCGGAUCAAAUGCGCAAGCAGCUUGAGGAGGGGUCGCGGCCGAUUAGCUAGUUGGUGGGGUAAUGGCCCACCAAGGCAAUGAUCGGUA
RNAcentral lists this ribosomal RNA (244 nucleotides) under uncultured bacterium. Its description in RNAcentral is "partial small subunit ribosomal RNA". It matches the Rfam family "Bacterial small subunit ribosomal RNA", at positions 26 to 285 of the family's 1533-position model. The record is from RNAcentral.